RNAcentral lists this transfer RNA (82 nucleotides) under Gymnopilus junonius. It matches the Rfam family "tRNA". Rfam says of the family: Transfer RNA (tRNA) molecules are approximately 80 nucleotides in length. Their secondary structure includes four short double-helical elements and three loops (D, anti-codon, and T loops). Lineage: Eukaryota; Fungi; Basidiomycota; Agaricomycetes; Agaricales; Galerinaceae. The record is from Rfam by way of RNAcentral.
GGCGCUAUAGUGUAGUGGUUAUCACUCGAGAUUCUGAUGAACCCGACUUCUCGAAACCCAGGUUCGAUCCCUGGUAGCGCCU